RNAcentral lists this transfer RNA (73 nucleotides) under Pseudomonas sp. Leaf127. Its description in RNAcentral is "tRNA-OTHER". It matches the Rfam family "tRNA". Rfam says of the family: Transfer RNA (tRNA) molecules are approximately 80 nucleotides in length. Their secondary structure includes four short double-helical elements and three loops (D, anti-codon, and T loops). Further hydrogen bonds mediate the characteristic L-shaped molecular structure. tRNAs have two regions of fundamental functional importance: the anti-codon, which is responsible for specific mRNA codon recognition, and the 3' end, to which the tRNAs corresponding amino acid is attached (by aminoacyl-tRNA synthetases). tRNAs cope with the degeneracy of the genetic code in two manners: having more than one tRNA (with a specific anti-codon) for a particular amino acid; and 'wobble' base-pairing, i.e. permitting non-standard base-pairing at the 3rd anti-codon position. Lineage: Bacteria; Pseudomonadati; Pseudomonadota; Gammaproteobacteria; Pseudomonadales; Pseudomonadaceae. The record is from RNAcentral.
GACCAUGUAGCUCAGCUGGUAGAGCGGCCUCGCAAAAGGCGCGCCGGGGGUUCGAUUCCCUCCAUGGAUGCCG